Molecule: transfer RNA, 84 nt
Filed under: Peptoniphilus sp.
Lineage: Bacteria; Bacillati; Bacillota; Tissierellia; Tissierellales; Peptoniphilaceae
Description: tRNA-Leu
Rfam family: tRNA
About the family: Transfer RNA (tRNA) molecules are approximately 80 nucleotides in length. Their secondary structure includes four short double-helical elements and three loops (D, anti-codon, and T loops).
Source: RNAcentral
GCGGGUGUGGCGGAACGGCAGACGCGCACGGUUCAGGUCCGUGUAAGGCAACUUGUGGAGGUUCAAAUCCUCUCACCCGCACCA